AGAUUCAGAUUACCAUGCAAACAAUCUAAUUUACUCACCACUGCCUCGUCAAAUAUUUGAAACAAAGAUGGACAUGUUUUAAGGCAUUCAGUUGUCUCACAUUGUUCCCACAAACCAUGAAUAAAUUGCGAGUAAUAAAUCAAAUGGUAAACAUAAUCGUCACAAGUAGGUAUUUGAAAAGAUUCACAUGGUUCACAGAGUUGCAUAAUCAUACCAUGCAUUAAUCGACGGUCUAUAGAUUCACUCACACAUGCAUUAUCAAAAACAAGAAUUUUUUUAUCAACCAUCAAAACAGAUAGAUCAUCAAUAAAUAAAAUAGGAC
RNAcentral lists this long non-coding RNA (322 nucleotides) under Gossypium barbadense (sea-island cotton). Its description in RNAcentral is "long non-coding RNA (GBAR_LNC020025)". Lineage: Eukaryota; Viridiplantae; Streptophyta; Magnoliopsida; Malvales; Malvaceae. The record is from RNAcentral.